CCUACGGGGGGCAGCAGUGAGGAAUAUUGGUCAAUGGGCGGAAGCCUGAACCAGCCAAGUCGCGUGAGGGAAUAAGGCCCUACGGGUCGUAAACCUCUUUUGCCGGGGAGCAAGGGCGGGGACGUGUCCCGGCCCGGAGAGUACCCGGAGAAAAAGCAUCGGCUAACUCCGUGCCAGCAGCCGCGGUAAUACGGAGGAUGCGAGCGUUAUCCGGAUUUAUUGGGUUUAAAGGGUGCGCAGGCGGUCUGUUAAGUCAGCGGUCAAAGCCCGGGGCUCAACCCCGGCCCGCCGUUGAAACUGGCAGU
This 305-nucleotide ribosomal RNA is filed under the name uncultured bacterium. RNAcentral's name for it is "bacterial SSU rRNA". It matches the Rfam family "Bacterial small subunit ribosomal RNA", at positions 338 to 640 of the family's 1533-position model. The record is from RNAcentral.